Molecule: ribosomal RNA, 433 nt
Filed under: uncultured bacterium
Lineage: Bacteria
Description: partial 16S ribosomal RNA
Rfam family: Bacterial small subunit ribosomal RNA
Source: RNAcentral
AACGAGCGCUGGCGGCAUGCCUAACACAUGCAAGUCGAACGAGACCUUCGGGUCUAGUGGCGCACGGGUGCGUAACGCGUGGGAACCUGCCCUUAGGUUCGGAAUAACUCCCCGAAAGGGGUGCUAAUACCGGAUAAUGUCUUCGGACCAAAGAUUUAUCGCCUUUGGAUGGGCCCGCGUUGGAUUAGCUAGUUGGUAGGGUAAAAGCCAACCAAGGCGACGAUCCAUAGCUGGUCUGAGAGGAUGAUCAGCCACACUGGGACUGAGACACGGCCCAGACUCCUACGGGAGGCAGCAGUGGGGAAUAUUGGACAAUGGGCGAAAGCCUGAUCCAGCAAUGCCGCGUGAGUGAUGAAGGCCUUAGGGUUGUAAAGCUCUUUUACCCGGGAUGAUAAUGACAGUACCGGGAGAAUAAGCUCCGGCUAACUCCGUG